This is a long non-coding RNA of Magallana angulata, 428 nucleotides long. RefSeq lists it as uncharacterized. The record is from RefSeq and is a predicted model, not a curated record. Lineage: Eukaryota; Metazoa; Mollusca; Bivalvia; Ostreida; Ostreidae. The transcript has 4 exons.
CACGGUAGCAACCUCACCAUAUCUGUUCUGUUGCAAUGUCUUCUCAUGCUAGACAAAAUUCCGGACACAUUGUAUUUGCAAAUGGACAAUUGUCCUGGACAGAAUAAAAACCGAUAUAUACUUGGAUUCCUCUGUUGGUUGGUGGAGAUUGGCGUAUUCAAAAAAAUCAAAGUGUCAUUCCUCAUGGUCGGACACACGCAUGAGGAUAUAGAUCAAGUAUUCUCCAGAUUUUCUAGCCUCCUUUCCAGGCGGAGUGCUUUGACUCUAACCAAAUUAAUAACUGCGUUUGAAAGGUGUUACACUCCGGUACCAACAGGAAUAAGAACGGACAGAGUAUACAAUAUUUCAGAAGCCUUGGACCUUGAAAAUAUUUCAGGCCAUUCAAAGCCGCAUGCUUUUAAAAUAAUUAAGGAAGACGCAAAAGCGAC